UCGGGAAUUUUGGGCAAUGGGCGAAAGCCUGACCCAGCAACGCCGCGUGAAGGAUGAAGUAUUUCGGUAUGUAAACUUCGAAAGAAUAGGAAGAAUAAAUGACGGUACUAUUUGUAAGGUCCGGCUAACUACGUGCCAGCAGCCGCGGUAAUACGUAGGGACCAAGCGUUGUUCGGAUUUACUGGGCGUAAAGGGCGCGUAGGCGGCAAUUCAAGUCAUCUGUGAAAUCUCCGGGCUUAACUCGGAACGGUCAGAUGAUACUGCUUUGCUAGAGUGCAGAAGGGGCAAUCGGAAUUCUUGGUGUAGCGGUGAAAUGCGUAGAUAUCAAGAGGAACACCUGAGGUGAAGACGGGUUGCUGGGCUAACACUGACGCUCAUGCACGAAAGCGUGGGGAUCAAACAGGAUUAGAUACCCGUGUAGUCCCUGAGCGGGCUGGCAAGGCGCAU
This 447-nucleotide ribosomal RNA is filed under the name uncultured bacterium. Its description in RNAcentral is "bacterial SSU rRNA". It matches the Rfam family "Bacterial small subunit ribosomal RNA", at positions 355 to 825 of the family's 1533-position model. The record is from RNAcentral.